ACAAGCUAACUUUUGUAAUCGAUGGUAGAUAUAGUCUGAGAGAGCAUGCAAGACAAUUCAACUUGUUUGGACCAUCAGAUGAGUUUCUCCCUUCCAUGCUACGAUGCUACUUCACCUGUCUCGUCAUUAGGCCGGUGUUAGCAGUAAGUACAGAAUCCUUUGUUUGACAAAAGAGAAAAUCUUUCAAAGAAGAGAAAAACAGAGUAUUUUUUGUCAAAUUUGUGACUUCGAGCAGCGUCUUUUGCGUAUUUGCUUGCUCUUUCCUGCUACUGCUACUAGCGACAUGCCUUCUGGAACCAUGAAGUUUGCGAAAACAAGGCUGGAACACAACGAUCGUGAUCCAGGGCACGGCAAAUGGGAGAUGACUGGGAGUGCAGAGGAAUCGGAGUGAGUUCAGCCGCUCAAUGCCGAGAUCGAAAAGUUCAAUUCCCAACGAGGUAGUCAUACUGAUUCGUAUAUGCAACAAACAGGUUUCCAACCGAAUAAGCCACAUUUACUAGCGUGAUCCCAGCCUAUACCCAAAUGGGAGCUUUGGAACAGGGUAUGGAGAUUUAUCAAAGCAUAAUGGAAGGAGGGUUUUUGUCAGAUGAUAUGGUCGGAAAUUGUCUGAUAGACAUGUAUAUAAGAUGUGGAAGAAUUGAAAGGCACAACAACUGUUUGACGAAAUGACUCAAAGAGAUGCCAUCACAUGGACUACAAUCAUUGCAGGAUACACACAAAAUGGAUGUGUUGAUAAAGCUUUAGAAAAAUUUAAUCAAAUGCAAUUGGCAGGUGUAAAUCAGAAUUCCACAAACUUUGCCAGCAUCCUCCCUGCCUUCGCCAAAUUGGGAGCUUUCGAACAGGGUAUGGGCAUCGAUCAAAGCAUAAGGGAAGCAAUUGUGACUGCCUUGGUAGACAUUAUGCAAAAUGUGGAAGCAUAGAUAAGGCAUGUGAGCUGUUUGACAAAAUGUGCACAGAACGGAUUUGUUGAUAAGGCUUGAGAAACUUCUAAGCAAGUGUAAUUGGCAGCUAUAAAAUAAAACUCCAAAAUCUUUGCCAGCAUCCUCCCUGCCUGUGCCAAAAUCGGAGCUUUUUACCACGGUAUGAAUAUCCAUAACAGUGUAAUGGAAAGGGAUUUUGGUUAGGAACAUGAACGCCAUAACACACUUCC
This is a long non-coding RNA of Cryptomeria japonica (Japanese cedar), 1150 nucleotides long. RefSeq lists it as uncharacterized. The record is from RefSeq and is a predicted model, not a curated record. The transcript has 3 exons. NCBI's taxonomy places the organism in Eukaryota, Viridiplantae, Streptophyta, Pinopsida, Cupressales, Cupressaceae.